Molecule: long non-coding RNA, 1550 nt
Organism: Denticeps clupeoides (denticle herring)
Lineage: Eukaryota; Metazoa; Chordata; Actinopteri; Clupeiformes; Denticipitidae
Source: Ensembl
CGGCUCACCCGGAAGUAGCGCCGAUUCGCAAAUUCGGAUACUGGUAGCGGAAUUGUGGUUCUGAAAAGAGCGCUGGGUGAUUAAACAAAUUGUCUAUAUAAGGUGUGCCCGACAGCCCUAUUGGACAACUGUUAAAAUUCAUAUUAUGGCAAGAACCAGUCAGUUAACUAAAGAGAAAAGAGUGGCCAUCAUUACUUUAAAAAAUGAAGGUCAGUCAGUCCGGAAAAUUGCAAAAACUUUAAAUCUGUCCCCAAGUGGAGUCGCAAAAACCAUCAAGCGCUACAACGAAACUGGCACACUUGAGGACCGACCCAGGACAGGAAGACCAAGAGUAACCUCUGCUUCUGAAGACAAGUUCAUCCGAGUCACCAGCGUCAGAAAUCGCAAGUUAUCAGCAGAUGCGAAGAAACGCGCGAAAGGGCCGCAAGAAUGGGAGAGGAGGUCGCACCUAGUGCAGAGAUUCUAUCCUGGUGGCGCACUCAUCCCGGCAUCCCCCCUUUGAGGCGACUGGCACAAGAACACCGAGGACAAACUCAGCGCGUCUGGCAAGAAGAAGAUGCGCACAGUGUUCUCCCGGAGCCAGGUGUUCCAGUUCAAGUCCACGUUCGACGUCAAGUGCUACCUGAGCAGCUCUGAGCACGCCUGCUUUGCCUCCAGCCUGCAGCUGACCUAGACUCAAGUCAAUCCUUCUUUUGCCAAGUGCCACAUUUUGCUAAGAAUAAGGAUUAUUUAUACUGAAUGUACUGUAUACAUUCCAAUGAAUACCAAAAUUGAGCUGUGAGUUUUAUGUCAGUGUUGUUGGUGUAACCUGCUUUAGCUUUUUAUACUUUUUUGUGAUUGCAUUAAUAUUAUUCUCAAAACACGCUACACUCUUCGCCAAUUGGGAAAAUGUGCCUGUACUUUGGUUUUUCUCUCUAUCCAGAUACUGUCAGCGUCAGCAGCAUACAUCACAGCUUGUAUAAGACAAUUAGCAGAACAAGCUACCAAGUGCAUGGUAAUGAUUGAGAUAAUCAGCAUCAGUGAUUCUCUAUAUGGCCUUUUUUCAUAUUGUUUAUUUCUAAUUCCCAGACCAUUAUGUUUAUCUGCAGUAUAAAUGUGUGUAUUCUGUGGGGAAGUGCAUCUGACAGUAAAAAUCCAAAGAUUUUCUCUAAACCCCCCAUACAGUAACUCUCACUGUAUGUUACUGUAAACAGUAGGGGUGUGUAUUGGCAAAAUACUGUACAUAUUGCAGCAUUCUAUGGUUCACUGAAAAUGUAAAAACCGAGCAGUGAUCGGCCUGUGUGGAUCACAUAACAUUAAUCAUGUAGCCAAAUCAUCAUAAAUUACAACUGAUUUUUGGGCUAGAUUUGUGUAUAGAAACAUUGAUAUUUGAUGUCCCUGUAUCAAUACAAUAUCACCAUGUAAAAUAUCACAAUAUAUUGCUCUAUGUAUACUUUGUAAAAUGCCUAGUAAACUUUUUUUUAAUCAUCCAGAUUAAACCAUAUUUGAAGAAACCACCAUAGAGCUCGUGUGAUGGUUUAAUAAUCUUAAUUAUGUGCCAACAUGCCCCC